CUGUGGGUUGACUCUUCAGACUAACGGUAACGUCAGCUCUGCCCGUCGUCUCUUCUUGCUCUCUCCGUUAAGCUUCGUGGCUUAAAAUGACCGUUGCUGGAGCACUUCCACCAGACCUCGACACGGAGCGGUCUGCUGCCAUCCACAGACAGCUCCAUCUCCGAGGGGGAGGGUGUGUUGAGGCUGUCACCUGAACGAGUGGGCAGUGUGUGUAGGCGGGGAUCAUCCAGUCACCGGCGGUGCGGAGGAACACGGAGGAGUAACGGCUGAGGAGCGGUUCUCACAUCAAGAGUAGCGCGAGCGUUGGUCGGUUACGUUACAUGUACUCGUUACUACUUGUCAGUCGGUGCAAGUGUAACCUAGAUGCUCUGAUUCAAUAGCUGCAGUAUCAACCUCACAGGAGGAGUCCCGCCUCCUUCACUCUGAUUGGUUGGCAGUGGUACCAACGUCUAGAAUCUACAGCGUCUGAUUGGCAGACCGUGUUCGGGACAGUGCUUAACUUCAGAGGUUGCGCUGUUCAUCCCUCAUUUCAAGAUUUAAGAAUUCAUUAAUUAAAGUUUUAUAAUUUAAAUAGUCUUUAACAAUAAAAAAAACAAGUCAAACCAGCAAAAUAGUAUGUAAAAAAACAAAGGAGCUGGUUUCAGCCUCUCAAACAUGAGGGUCUCCUGUUUUUCCUUUGAAUUAUUUCAGUUCAUUAAAUUGAUUUAAAUAUUUAUGCACCGAGUACUUUUGCUUUUAAUACUUAAAUACAUUCUCCUGCUUGCACGUUUAUAUUUUUAUGUAAGUAAUAUUUUCAAUGCAGGACUUUUACACUGCACUGUAACUUUAAACCCUGUGUUUCAUAACUGUCUUAGCUUAUUUUUAUUUUCUAUUCUUUCACUCUUUUAAUGGCAUUUUUUAAAUUGUAUUUAAAUGUCCUUUUGAAUUGCCUUGUAGCUAAAAUGCCUUGCCAAGUAACAGAGUAUUUUUACAGUGAUAUUACUACUUUUAUUGAAGUAGAGGAUCUGAAUACUUCCUCUACAACUGCAUCUUAAUAAUACAAAUGUGAUAAUAUUGUGGAGAUGAUCCAGUGCCCCCACCAUUUCCAUUUCUUUCCUUUCUCUCCGUCUCCUCCACCCAACACCAUCUGGUUCCCUUUUCACUAUCUAUUAAGUGUAGUUGCUCUUUUUGUACUAUUUUGUAGUUAUGGUUACAGACUCUCUCUCAACCUACUUUCACUCGUAUUUUGGGUACGAUUCAUUUGCCAAAAAAGAAAUAAAAGGCACAAUAAAAAAGUUAAAGAUGAAUUUGACUUAGAGCAUUUUUCCCUAAAUUUUCUAUACAUCAGUUGGCCACAAUAAAACUCCACCGUGCCAGCCCUAAUACAAACUAUAUGAUCAAUUUUUAAAAUAUGAUGCAAUGUUAUUGAUUAAAUAUUGAUGACAGAGUAAACUAACCCGAGUUAGAGUUAAGAACUGAGCCAUUUAAGUCGCUUAAUAAAAUUUAAUUGACAUAGGUUUCAUGAAUGUCCAACCUUUUUUUCCUGUUAUAAAAAAAAACAUUUCAGAACAGCAUCUGAUGGGUAAAAAAAUCUAUUAUCUACAAUGAAAAAACAAAAACACUUAGGUGGACUGAGCGAUGAAGAAAUAACUACAUGGAGAAAAAUGUGUCAUGAUAAAAACACAGUCAUGUUUUCCUACAAACACUAUGUCUAACCACGAAAUUGUAUAAAAUGCAUCCACAGUAUUGGGCAAAUUAGUAAGUACAUCCAAUAAACACUGGGGAAGAAAAGAAAUUCUGUACAAUAUCUUCACAUUAUUAUCACAUUUCAGCUUCUGCUCGGUGGAUGCAGGUUGGAUUUAUGGUGCUGAGUCCAUCCCCCAUAGUGCAUGGGAUGAAAAAAAAAGAAAUGUCAAAAUACAGGGCAUCACAUAAAAGA
This is a long non-coding RNA of Epinephelus moara (kelp grouper), 1918 nucleotides long. RefSeq lists it as uncharacterized. The record is from RefSeq and is a predicted model, not a curated record. The transcript has 2 exons. NCBI's taxonomy places the organism in Eukaryota, Metazoa, Chordata, Actinopteri, Perciformes, Serranidae.